AAGUCGUAACAAGGUUUCCGUAGGUGAACCUGCGGAAGGAUCAUUAUUGAAAAUAAACCUGAUGGGCUGUUGCUGGUUCUCUAGAGAGCAUGUGCACGCCUUGUCAUCUUUAUAUCUCCACCUGUGCACUCUUUGUAGACCUUUCAGGUCUAUGUUGCCUGUUCAUUUACCCCAAUGUAUGUUAAUAGAAUGUUGUGCCUAUGAAAUAUAUACAACUUUCAGCAACGGAUCUCUUGGCUCUC
Molecule: unclassified non-coding RNA, 242 nt
Filed under: Cortinarius sp.
Lineage: Eukaryota; Fungi; Basidiomycota; Agaricomycetes; Agaricales; Cortinariaceae
Description: partial internal transcribed spacer region
Rfam family: Eukaryotic small subunit ribosomal RNA (bases 1-46)
Source: RNAcentral